Molecule: non-coding RNA, 72 nt
Organism: Potamilus streckersoni
Lineage: Eukaryota; Metazoa; Mollusca; Bivalvia; Unionida; Unionidae
Source: the annotation of a GenBank genome assembly
ACUCCGGUGGCCUAGUGGUUAGAGCGUCCACCUGGGAUGCGAAUGGUCGUGGGUUCGAUCCCGUGCAAAGUC